RNAcentral lists this ribosomal RNA (253 nucleotides) under uncultured bacterium. Its description in RNAcentral is "partial 16S ribosomal RNA". It matches the Rfam family "Bacterial small subunit ribosomal RNA", at positions 524 to 776 of the family's 1533-position model. The record is from RNAcentral.
UACGUAGGGGGCAAGCGUUGGCCGGAAUCAUUGGGCGUAAAGAGCGUGUAGGCGGCCCGAUAAGUCCGCUGUGAAAGUCCAGGGCUCAACCCUGGAAUGCCGGUGGAUACUGUCGGGCUCGAAUCCGGAAGAGGUGAGUGGAAUUCCUGGUGUAGCGGUGAAAUGCGCAGAUAUCAGGAGGAACACCAAUGGCGAAGGCAGCUCACUGGGACGGUAUUGACGCUGAGACGCGAAAGCGUGGGGGGCAAACAGG